This is a non-coding RNA of Manis javanica (Malayan pangolin), 665 nucleotides long. Lineage: Eukaryota; Metazoa; Chordata; Mammalia; Pholidota; Manidae. The record is from RefSeq and is a predicted model, not a curated record.
UGGCUUUUUUCACUUAGCAUAAUGUUUUCAAGGUUCAUCUACACUGUAGCAUAUAUUAGUACAUAAUUCCUUUCUCUAUAGCUAAAUAAUAUUCCAUUGUAUGGAAACAUCACAUGUUAUCCACACAUCAUUUGCUGGGUUGUUUCCACUUCUUGGCUAUUAAAAAAUAAUGUUGCCAUGAACAAUCAUGUCCAAGUUUUUGUGUGGACUUAUGUUUUCAUUUUUAUUAGGUAUGUAUCUAGGAAAGGAACGGCUGGUUAUCAUAACUUCAUAUUUAACUUUCUGAUGAGCUGCCUGACUUUUUCCAGAGUGGCUGCACCAUUAUACUUUCCUCUCCACAAAUGUGUACAAGUUCCUAUUUCCUGGAAUCCUGAGGAUUUCCUUUAGUGAUUGUCAUUGGAUGAGUCUGCUUUCUCAGUACUCCUGGCCAGGAGGGAGACACAGAAGAGGAGGAAUGGCUGCAGGAUUACUGACAACCUGGUCACAGGUAUGUAGGAAAUUAUUCCAUUCCCAAAAAAACCAUUGCUAUUCCCGAAGGACACUUCUCUUGCCUGUGACCCACAGCUUUAUAGCACAGUGGGCUACCCCAGUUCUGGGCUUCUUAGAAUGGGAGAGAGAAUGCCUUAGGAAGUCUUUUGUUCCUACAACAUUUGUUAAUUUUUUUU